GACGAACGCUGGCGGCGUGCUUAACACAUGCAAGUCGAACGGAAAGGCCCUGCUUUUGUUGGGUGCUCGAGUGGCGAACGGGUGAGUAACACGUGAGUAACCUGCCCUUGACUUUGGGAUAACUUCAGGAAACUGGGGCUAAUACCGGAUAGGAGCUCCUGCUGCACGGGGGGGGUUGGAAAGUUUCGGCGGUUGGGGAUGGACUCGCGGCUUAUCAGCUUGUUUGUGUGGUAGUGGCGUACCAAGGCUUUGACGGGUAGCCUGCCUGAGAGGGUGACCGGCCACAUGGGGACUGAGAUACGGCCCAGACUCCUACGGGACGCAGCAGUGGGGAAUAUUGCACAAUGGGCGGAAGCCUGAUGCAGCAACGCCGCGUGCGGGAUGACGGCCUUCGGGUUGUAAACCGCUUUCGCCUGUGACGAAGCGUGAGUGACGGUAAUGGGUAAAGAAGCAACGGCUAACUACGUG
This 468-nucleotide ribosomal RNA is filed under the name uncultured bacterium. RNAcentral describes it as "partial 16S ribosomal RNA". It matches the Rfam family "Bacterial small subunit ribosomal RNA", at positions 28 to 507 of the family's 1533-position model. The record is from RNAcentral.